This 408-nucleotide long non-coding RNA is filed under the name Homo sapiens (human). RNAcentral describes it as "HSALNT0277411". Lineage: Eukaryota; Metazoa; Chordata; Mammalia; Primates; Hominidae. The record is from RNAcentral.
GGCAUCACCUGGGCAGCUUUUUAAAAAUUCUGCCUGUGCUUCUGAGGUGCAGCCAGUUCUGAGGACAAAUCUAACCCACUCUCUGUACAGAUGGGGAAACUGAGGCUUCAGGAGGAGAAGGGAUGUGUCCUAGGCAUCCAGGUAGCAAGGCACUCGGAGCGUGCGGAAUCAGAUCUCCAUCCCACUGAGCAUCCUCAGCUCCAAAGGUGGGAUAGGUGAGGAAAUGGCUCAGGAAGGGGAGGUGGGUCGCACCAGGGGCCUAGAACCAAAGAGAAAGGGAGGACACAAGAUGCUGUCAUCACUGUCCCAGCCAGGGGAGUGGGGAGCUGUGCAGGAGAGUCAAACCUCAGCCCCAUUACACCUUUUUAAAAACCAUGGAAGAGUGAUAUAACUUUCUUUUUUUCUUUU